Molecule: ribosomal RNA, 492 nt
Filed under: uncultured bacterium
Lineage: Bacteria
Description: partial 16S ribosomal RNA
Rfam family: Bacterial small subunit ribosomal RNA
Source: RNAcentral
AGUGAACGCUGGCGGUAGGCCUAACACAUGCAAGUCGAACGGCAGCACAGUAAGAGCUUGCCCUUACGGGUGGCGAGUGGCGGACGGGUGAGGAAUACAUCGGAUUCUACUUUUUCUUGGGGGAUAUCGUAGGGCAACUUACGCUAAUACCGCAUACGACCUACGGGUGAAAUCAGGGGAUCUUGGCGCCUUGCCCGUUUCAUUGAGCUGAUUUCGGACUGCAUAAUUUGGGGGGUAAAGGCCCACCAAGCCGAGGCACCGUAGCGGGUCUGAGAGGAUGGGCAGCCACACUGGAAAUGAGACACGGUCCAGACUCCUAUGCGAGGCAGCAGUGUGGAAUAUUGGACAAUGGGCGCAAGCCUGAGACAGCCAUACCGCGUGUGUGAAGAAGGCCUUCGGGUUGUAAAGCCCUUUUGUUGGGAAAGAAAAGCAGCAGGUUAAUACCCCGCUGUUCUGACGGUACCCAAAGAAUAAGCACCGGCUAACUUCGUG